AGUGAGACAGCUGGGUCAAAUGGUGGUUCCAUUCCAAGUUUUCUGAGGAAUCUCCAUACUGCUUUCCAAAGUGGUUGUACCAAUUUACAAUCCCACCAGAAAU
This 103-nucleotide microRNA precursor is filed under the name Marmota monax (woodchuck). The record is from RNAcentral. Lineage: Eukaryota; Metazoa; Chordata; Mammalia; Rodentia; Sciuridae.